RNAcentral lists this ribosomal RNA (497 nucleotides) under uncultured bacterium. RNAcentral's name for it is "bacterial SSU rRNA". It matches the Rfam family "Bacterial small subunit ribosomal RNA", at positions 791 to 1292 of the family's 1533-position model. The record is from RNAcentral.
UAGUCCACGCCGUAAACGAUGGACACUAGUUGUUGGAAUUUAUUUCAGUGACUAAGCGAAAGUGAUAAGUGUCCCACCUGGGGAGUACGAUCGCAAGAUUGAAACUCAAAGGAAUUGACGGGGCCCGCACAAGCGGUGGAGCAUGUGGUUUAAUUCGAUGAUACGCGAGGAACCUUACCAGGGCUUAAAUGUAAGUUGCAUGAUUUAGAGAUAGAUCUUUCUUCGGACUACUUACAAGGUGCUGCAUGGUUGUCGUCAGCUCGUGCCGUGAGGUGUCAGGUUAAGUCCUAUAACGAGCGCAACCCCUAUCGUUAGUUGCUAGCAGGUCAUGCUGAGGACUCUAACGAGACUGCCGGUGCAAACCGUGAGGAAGGUGGGGAUGACGUCAAAUCAUCACGGCCCUUACGUCCUGGGGCUACACACGUGCUACAAUGGGUAUAUACAGAGGGGCAGCUACCUGGGCGACAGGGAUGCGAAUCUUCAAAGUNUAUCUCAGA